Molecule: ribosomal RNA, 497 nt
Filed under: uncultured bacterium
Lineage: Bacteria
Description: partial 16S ribosomal RNA
Rfam family: Bacterial small subunit ribosomal RNA
Source: RNAcentral
GAUGAACGCUGGCGGCGUGCCUAAUACAUGCAAGUCGAGCGAACAGACGAGGAGCUUGCUCCUCUGAUGUUAGCGGCGGACGGGUGAGUAACACGUGGAUAACCUACCUAUAAGACUGGGAUAACUUCGGGAAACCGGAGCUAAUACCGGAUAAUAUUUUGAACCGCAUGGUUCAAUAGUGAAAGACGGUUUUGCUGUCACUUAUAGAUGGAUCCGCGCUGCAUUAGCUAGUUGGUAAGGUAACGGCUUACCAAGGCAACGAUGCGUAGCCGACCUGAGAGGGUGAUCGGCCACACUGGAACUGAGACACGGUCCAGACUCCUACGGGAGGCAGCAGUAGGGAAUCUUCCGCAAUGGGCGAAAGCCUGACGGAGCAACGCCGCGUGAGUGAUGAAGGUCUUCGGAUCGUAAAACUCUGUUAUUAGGGAAGAACAAAUGUGUAAGUAACUGUGCACGUCUUGACGGUACCUAAUCAGAAAGCCACGGCUAACUACGUG